This 330-nucleotide ribosomal RNA is filed under the name uncultured eukaryote. Its description in RNAcentral is "partial 18S ribosomal RNA". It matches the Rfam family "Eukaryotic small subunit ribosomal RNA", at positions 1470 to 1796 of the family's 1831-position model. The record is from RNAcentral.
CCCUUAGAUGUUCUGGGCCGCACGCGCGCUACACUGACGAUGGCAACGAGUUUUUCCUUCGCCGAAAGGUGUGGGUAAUCUUUUGAAACAUCGUCGUGCUGGGGAUAGAUCAUUGCAAUUUUUGAUCUUGAACGAGGAAUUCCUAGUAAGCGCGAGUCAUCAGCUCGCGUUGAUUACGUCCCUGCCCUUUGUACACACCGCCCGUCGCUACUACCGAUUGAAUGGUUCAGUGAGAUAAUCGGACAGAUAACUUGGCAACUGGCAACAGUUGACGUGCAUAUUUGGAAGACGAUCAAACUUGGUCAUUUAGAGGAAGUAAAAGUCGUAACA